AGAGUUUGAUCCUGGCUCAGAUUGAACGCUGGCGGCAGGCUUAACACAUGCAAGUCGAGCGGAGAUGAGGUGCUUGCACCUUAUCUUAGCGGCGGACGGGUGAGUAAUGCUUAGGAAUCUGCCUAUUAGUGGGGGACAACAUUCCGAAAGGAAUGCUAAUACCGCAUACGUCCUACGGGAGAAAGCAGGGGAUCUUCGGACCUUGCGCUAAUAGAUGAGCCUAAGUCGGAUUAGCUAGUUGGUGGGGUAAAGGCCUACCAAGGCGACGAUCUGUAGCGGGUCUGAGAGGAUGAUCCGCCACACUGGGACUGAGACACGGCCCAGACUCCUACGGGAGGCAGCAGUGGGGAAUAUUGGACAAUGGGGGGAACCCUGAUCCAGCCAUGCCGCGUGUGUGAAGAAGGCCUUAUGGUUGUAAAGCACUUUAAGCGAGGAGGAGGCUACUGAGACUAAUACUCUUGGAUAGUGGACGUACUCGCAGAAUAAGCACCGGCUAACUCUGUGCCAGCAGCCGCGGUAAUACAGAGGGUGCGAGCGUUAAUCGGAUUUACUGGGCGUAAAGCGUGCGUAGGCGGCUUUUUAAGUCGGAUGUGAAAUCCCCGAGCUUAACUUGGGAAUUGCAUUCGAUACUGGGAAGCUAGAGUAUGGGAGAGGAUGGUAGAAUUCCAGGUGUAGCGGUGAAAUGCGUAGAGAUCUGGAGGAAUACCGAUGGCGAAGGCAGCCAUCUGGCCUAA
This 734-nucleotide ribosomal RNA is filed under the name uncultured organism. Its description in RNAcentral is "bacterial SSU rRNA". It matches the Rfam family "Bacterial small subunit ribosomal RNA", at positions 8 to 737 of the family's 1533-position model. The record is from RNAcentral.